GGACGGCAAUGGCUGUGGGCAAGGAGCGAGGCGCGAUUGGCUGUCCGGCGGACGAGUUCUGGGGCCCGCGAGCGCAAAGUGGAAGGCGGCGGGGCCGGGGCUGUGGCUGCGCCGCCCGCCAUCUACCUCCCCGCGGCGGCCCGGCCCCCGGUAUGAUGGUGGGGACCGGUGGGGAUCUAGGUCGCGGGCCAGGAGGAGGGUGUUGGGGAACGUGUGUCCAGCUCACCUCCGUUAGCCGCUGAACGCUAGCACCGACAGAAGAUUCUCUCAUCUUAAAGCGGAGGUAUACGGGGUGUCGGGGGAAGACACUCCCACCAGACUCAGAGUUACUCUGAUCUGAAAGAUGACAGUCGCAGCACGUCAGCCAGAAUCAAGUCUCCUAGGAGCCUAAACUAAAGGAUCAGAGCAAAUAAUGGUAUUAGGUACAAGACUCUCUGAGAGCUUGCCAUAAAUAUGUCAAUCGAUGUAAUCCUCACUACAGCCCUGUAAAUUAGGUGGUAAAAUAUCAUUUACAAAUAAAAAACUGAGACACAGGGUAAUGUGUUUAAAAUCAGCGAGCAGUGGCAGAAUUCGCUGUAAACAUUACACUGCGUAUAGAUGAUACUUUUCCAGAUGUUUGAAAUGUUGGACACAAUUCCCAUUCCGCUGGGGGAAAUAGCUAGAUUUACUGUUAUUGAAGAAUCCAGUUAUGGACUACCAUGCUAUACUGACAUAGGAAGUUCCCCCAAGACGUAUUUGGGAGUGGAUUUUAAAAGUUACAGAAAAAGAGAUAUGAGUACUUUUUUUUUUUUUUUUUGAGACAGAGACUCACUCUGUCGCCCAGGCUGGAGUGCAGUGGCGCGAUCUCGGCUCUCUGCAAUCUGCACCUCCCGGGUUCAAGCGAUUGUCCUGCCUCAGGCUCCUGGCAAAUUUUUGUAUUUUUAGUAGAGACGCGGUUUCACUAUGUUGGCCAGACUGGUCUCCAACUGCUGACCUCAAAUGAUCCACCCACCUUGGCCUCACUCCCAAAGUGCUGGGAUUACAGGCGUGAGCCACCGCGCCCAGCCAGUAAUUCUUUUUUUUUUUUUUUUAAGUAAUUCUUUUACACAAAAACCCCUUAAAACAAUACUGUUUUUUUGUGGUAUAUGCUUAUGUAAAUGAAUAGAAAAAGAUGUAUACACAUUACUAUAAAAAGACCUGCAGUAUUAAUAACAUACGCUAAACUGCCAACAGUCAAUAGGGGAGGGAAACUUUAUCCUAUUCAUGAAGUUUUUUUUUUUUUUUUUUUUUUUUUUGAGACGGAGUCUCGCUCUCUCGCCCAGGCUGGAGUGCAGUGGCGCGAUCUUGGCUCACUGCAAGCUCUGCCUCCCGGAUUCAUGCCAUUCUCCUGGCUCAGCCUCCCGAGUAGCUGGGACUACAGGCGUCCGCCACCAGGCCUGGCUAAUUUUUUGUACAUUUAGUAGAGACGGGGUUUCACCAUGUUGGCCAGGAUGGUCUCGAUCUCUUGACCUCGUGAUCCACCCGCCUUGGCCUCCCAAAGUGCUGGGAUUACAGGCAUGAGCCACCGCGCCUGGCCUAUGAAGUUUUUUUUGGGGGGCGUAGGGGGGUGAAAUGUGGUCAGAAAAAUGUAUAUAUACAUACUGUAUCUUCUCUACAUAAUAAAAAUUAUCUUUAAAACUUGAGUAAGAAUGACAAAUUUCACCAAGCAUGGUGUCUCAAAAAAAAAAAAAAGAAUGACGUUUUGUAUAAUUUGAGCACCUACUCUGGUAUAAUGGCUUUUGAAUAAUUGUAGAAAUAAAAUCUACCAUUAGGGGGUGAGGAUUUGAGGGUUAUGAGAAUAAGAGCAUAAACAUAAAGCACAUUCAGGGAAUUCCAAAAGAAUUUUUACAGUACUUUAAAACAGUGCAGUAUUUCAUAAUUUAGUCCAAGGCAGCUUAAUAACAAACAAUGUUAGCUAAAACUGCUCUAUAUCUAUGUUACAUAGCUCAUAUUUAAUGAAGAAUUAGAGGCACUCAAUAAUACUAAGUACUAUUUAUUUAUUUAUUUAUUUAUUUAUUUUUGAGACAGAGUCUGGCUCUGUCGCCCAGGCUAGAGUGCAGUGGCCCAAUCUCGGCUCACUGCAAGCUCCGCCUCCGGGGUUCAAGCGAUUCUCCUGCCUCAGCCUCCAGCGUAGCUGGGAUUACAGGCACGUGCCACCCCGCCGGGCUAAUUUUUUGUAUUUUUAGUAGAGAUGGGGUUUCACCGUGUUAGCCAGGGUGGUCUCGAUCUCCUGACCUUGUGAUCCGCCCGCCUUGGCCUCCCAAAGUUCUGGGAUUACAGGUAUGAGCCCCCGUGCUUGGCCAAUACUAAGUACUUUUUAAAAUAUGGCUCCUGAUAUUUUCAGUUGAAAUAUUUUAUAAAUGUAUUCAAUGUUGAUUACUGUAAAGUGUUUCACUUUAAUAAAAUUCAAGAUAUGCCUACAUCUUAUACCUGACAAUUUUGUGACCCUAUAUAAAAAUUGUUACAAACAAAAAACCCUUAGUAACAUCUAUUUUGUACAUUACACUGGGGUGGAGGCUUUAAAACCAAAAGGGAUAUGCCCAGGGAUUGAAAUGAGGGCAAUUCGCUCUUAAUUGACAGGAUCUACUAGAAACUGACAUUUAAAAUAUGUUAGUUGACCUAAGGAAUACCAAGAGCCAAAUUUGGCUUGGGAAUCUCUUAGUUAUUCACCCUAUUUGGAGAAGUAAAGAAGAAAGCAGAAGUAGUUGUGCUCACCUGACAAGUGCCUUCGUAUCUGGGACUUACCAUCAGACAGUUGGCAAGACCCUGUUAAUUGAGGGUUCAAAUCCUGAUGACAUCACAACUGUUGCUUGGUAGCCAGCCAGAUCAACAAUUUUCACAAGGCCUUGGCUUAAGCUAUUUUUUUUUUUUUUUUUUGAGAUGGAGUCUUGCUCUGUCUCCCAGGCUGGAGUGCAGUGGCACGAUCUUGGCUCACUGCAAGCUCUGCCUCCUGGGUUCAUGCCAUUCUCCUGCCUCAGCCUCCGGAGUAGCUGGGACUACAGGCACCCGCCACCAUGCCCGGCUAAUUUUUUGUAUUUUAAGUAGAGACAGGGUUUCACCGUGUUAGCCAGGAUGGUCUCGAUCUCCUGACCUAAUGAUCUGCCCGCCUCAGCCUCCCAAAGUGCUGGGAUUACAGGUGUAAGCCAUCGUGCCCGGAUGGCUUAGGCUAUUUCUUACCACAAUAAGAUGCUUCAAAUAGAGUUUAACAUGUAUUAAUUAUUGCAAUGUAACAAAUUAACUACCCAGAAACAUUUCUCCCACAGUUUCUGAAGGUCACGGAUCAGAGCAGGGUGGCUUAAUGGUUCUGGCUUAUUUUUUUUUAUUUUUUAUUUUUUUUGAAACAGAGUUUUGCUUUUGUUGCCCAGGCUGGAGUGCAAUGGCACGAUCUCGGCUCACUGCAACCUCUGCCUCCCAGGUUCAAGCAAUUCUCCUGCCUCAGCCUCCCAAGUAGCUGGGAUUACAGGCGUGUGCCACCGUGCCUGGCUAAUUUUUGUAUUUUUAAGGGCCAGGCCCGGUGGCUCACGCCCACUUUGGGAGGCUGAGGUGGGUGGAUCAUGAGGUCAGCAGUUCGAGACCAGCCUGACCAACAUGGUAAAACCCUGUCUCUACUAAAAGUACAAAAAAAUUAGCUAGGUGUGGUGGCAGGCACCUGUAAUCCCAGCAACUUGGUUGGCUGAGGCAGGAGAAUCGCUUGAAACCGGAAGGUGGAGGUUGCAGUGAGAUGAGAUUGCACCACUGCACUCUAGCCUGGGCAGUAAGAGCAAAAAAAAUUGCAUUUUUAGUACAGACGGAGUUUCACCCUAUUGGCCAGGCUGGUCUGGAACUCCUGACCUACAGUGAUCUGCCUGCCUUGGCCUCCCGAAGUGCUGGGACUACAGGCGUGAGCCACUGCUCCUGGCCAGUUCGGACUCUUGAGUUUACAGGACAUUUCAAGGGCCUACUGGGGAUGAAGAAUCUUUUCCAAACUCACUUUCUUCUUGGCAGGCUCACUUUCCCACAGUGAGGGCUGGCUAGGGCUACUCACAGCAUGGCUUCCUCACCCCAGGGCAACAGAUGAAAGAGGGAGAGAGUAAGAUGAAAGCCACAGUGUCUUUUGAACUUCUCUGAGAAGUUACAUACCAUCAAUUCUCCGUACAUGAAUCAUCACACAGACCAACCUUAGUACAAUGUAAGAGGGAACUUGACAAGGGUAUCAUUUCCCAAACUCUCCCUCUCAUGGAUAAUUACUAUAUACAGGGUGCGUAAGAGCUGUGGUCAAAAUGAAGGAAUUAGAGACACUACACAAACAAGAUUAGGCCCUGGUGGCCCGGCACGGUGGCUCAUCACGCCUGUAAUCCCAGCACUUUGGGAGGCUGAGGUGGGCAGAUCACAAGAUCAGGAGUUCAAGACCAGCCGGACCAAUAUGGUGAAACUCCGUCUCUACUAAAAAUACAAAAAUUAGCUGGGCGUGGUGGCAUGUGCCUGUAAUCUUAGCUACUCAGGAGGCUGAGGCAGGAGAAUUGUUUGAACCUGGGAGCCAGAGGUUGCAGUGAGCUAAGAUCGCUCCACUGCACUCCAGCCUGGGCAACAGAGCAAGACUCUGUAUCAAGAAAAAAAAAAAAUUGCUGGGCACAGUGGCCCAUGCCUGUAAUCCCAGCACUUUGAGAGACCAAGGCGGGCGGAUCAUGAGGUCAGGAGAUGGAGACCAUCCUGGCUAACACGGUGAAACCCCGUCUCUACUAAAAAUACAAAAAAUUAGACGGG
RNAcentral lists this long non-coding RNA (4761 nucleotides) under Homo sapiens (human). RNAcentral's name for it is "non-protein coding lnc-EIF2AK1-4:1". Lineage: Eukaryota; Metazoa; Chordata; Mammalia; Primates; Hominidae. The record is from RNAcentral.